AUUAGCUCAGUUGGUAGAGCACCUGACUCUUAAUCAGGGUGUCCGGGGUUCGAGUCCCCG
RNAcentral lists this transfer RNA (60 nucleotides) under pig gut metagenome. It matches the Rfam family "tRNA", at positions 8 to 63 of the family's 71-position model. Rfam says of the family: Transfer RNA (tRNA) molecules are approximately 80 nucleotides in length. The record is from RNAcentral.